Molecule: ribosomal RNA, 279 nt
Filed under: uncultured bacterium
Lineage: Bacteria
Description: partial 16S ribosomal RNA
Rfam family: Bacterial small subunit ribosomal RNA
Source: RNAcentral
UGCCAGCAGCCGCGGUAAUACGGAGGGUGCGAGCGUUAAUCGGAAUUACUGGGCGUAAAGCGCACGCAGGCGGUUUGACAAGCUAGAUGUGAAAGCCCCGGGCUUAACCUGGGAAUUGCAUUUAGAACUGUCAGACUAGAGUCAUCUAGAGGGGAGUGGAAUUCCAGGUGUAGCGGUGAAAUGCGUAGAGAUCUGGAGGAACAUCAGUGGCGAAGGCGACUCCCUGGAGAUAGACUGACGCUCAUGUGCGAAAGCGUGGGUAGCGAACAGGAUUAGAUA